RNAcentral lists this ribosomal RNA (253 nucleotides) under uncultured bacterium. RNAcentral's name for it is "partial 16S ribosomal RNA". It matches the Rfam family "Bacterial small subunit ribosomal RNA", at positions 524 to 776 of the family's 1533-position model. The record is from RNAcentral.
UACGUAGGGGGCCAGCGUUGUCCGGAUUCAUUGGGCGUAAAGCGCGCGCAGGCGGUUCGCGGCGUCGCUCGUGAAAGCCCCCGGCUUAACCGGGGAGGGACGGGCGAAACGGGCGGACUUGAGGCCGGUAGGGGGAAGCGGAAUUCCCGGUGUAGUGGUGGAAUGCGUAGAGAUCGGGAGGAACACCAGUGGCGAAGGCGGCUUCCUGGGCCGAGCCUGACGCUGAGGCGCGAAAGCGUGGGGAGCGAUCCGG